AAACACCCACCCGUGGCUUGUUUCUGUAAAAAAAAAAAAAAUCCUCGCACACAUCCUUCCCAUUCACGACGCCUCCAGCAGAUCCCCAUCGCCGCCGCCACCUCCGCCCGAUCUCCGCCGCCGCGCCGCCCCAGGCCAGGCCGCACCGCCCCCGGCCAAGCUGCUGCUGUCCAGGUCCGCCGCACGCGCGCCCGCCUCCGGCCGCGCCCAGGCCGUACGCGUGCCCGCCUCCGGCCGCGCCCAGGCCGCACGCGCGCCCGCCCCUGGCUAGCGGCGCCGUGCAGUGGUUCAACAGGUCCAACAUCAAGCAGGUGAACACGGGGACUUGUCAAGAAGGAGGAAGCAUCAAUCGGCGGCAGCGUCAAACCAUUGCGGAGAGUCGCCGGCAUCGCAAGUCGGCCCGUCCCCACCCGGACCGUCUCUGGGAUCGCACGUUGGGGCGUCCCAUCUCUCACAGUCGCUGUGAGCCGCUUGCAGAUUCUUUUUUAUGUAUUGAACUUGUGGACUAUGAGCUGUGAUUUGUAACAUAUUGUGGAUUUCAGACAAAUUUGGUCCUUUUUUAUAUAAAUUUGUGGUUUGUGAUUAUUUGC
This is a long non-coding RNA of Sorghum bicolor (sorghum), 590 nucleotides long. RefSeq lists it as uncharacterized. The record is from RefSeq and is a predicted model, not a curated record. The transcript has 3 exons. Lineage: Eukaryota; Viridiplantae; Streptophyta; Magnoliopsida; Poales; Poaceae.